RNAcentral lists this transfer RNA (75 nucleotides) under Tengunoibacter tsumagoiensis. RNAcentral describes it as "tRNA-Cys". It matches the Rfam family "tRNA". Rfam says of the family: Transfer RNA (tRNA) molecules are approximately 80 nucleotides in length. Their secondary structure includes four short double-helical elements and three loops (D, anti-codon, and T loops). Lineage: Bacteria; Bacillati; Chloroflexota; Ktedonobacteria; Ktedonobacterales; Dictyobacteraceae. The record is from RNAcentral. RNAcentral also lists the same sequence under 1 other name.
GGGCGACGUCGCCAAGUGGUAAGGCACGGCUCUGCAAAAGCUGCACCAGCGGUUCGAAUCCGCUCGUCGCCUCCC